GCAUAUCAAUAAGCGGGGGAAAAGAAACCAACAGGGAUUGCUCUAGUAACGGCGAGUGAAGCAGCAAUAGCUCAAAUUUGAAAUCUGGCGUCUUCGACGUCCGAGUUGUAAUUUGUAGAGGAUGCUUCUGAGUGGCCACCGACCUAAGUUCCUUGGAACAGGACGUCAUAGAGGGUGAGAAUCCCCGUAUGCGGUCGGAAAGGCGCUCUAUACGUAGCUCCUUCGACGAGUCGAGUUGUUUGGGAAUGCAGCUCUAAAUGGGAGGUAAAUUUCUUCUAAAGCUAAAUAUUGGCCAGAGACCGAUAGCGCACAAGUAGAGUGAUCGAAAGAUGAAAAGCACUUUGGAAAGAGAGUUAAAAAGCACGUGAAAUUGUUAAAAGGGAAGGGAUUGCAACCAGACUUGCUCGCGGUGUUCCGCCGGUCUUCUGACCGGUCUACUCGCCGCGUUGCAGGCCAGCAUCGUCUGGUGCCGCUGGAUAAGACUUGAGGAAUGUAGCUCCCUCGGGAGUGUUAUAGCCUCUUGUGAUGCAGCGAGCGCCGGGCGAGGUCCGCGCUUCGGCUAGGAUGCUGGCGUAAUGGUCGUAAUCCGCCCGUCUUGAAACACGGACCAAGGAGUCUAACAUCUAUGCGAGUGUUCGGGUGUCAAACCCCUACGCGUAAUGAAAGUGAACGGAGGUGAGAACCGCAAGGUGCAUCAUCGACCGAUCCUGAUGUCUUCGGAUGGAUUUGAGUAAGAGCAUAGCUGUUGGGGACCCGAAAGAUGGUGAACUAUGCCUGAAUAGGGUGAAGCCAGAGGAAACUCUGGUGGAGGCUCGCAGCGGUUCUGACGUGCAAAUCGAUCGUCAAAUUUGGGUAUAGGGGCGAAAAACUAAUCGAACCAUCUAGUAGCUGGUCCCUGCCGAGU
Molecule: ribosomal RNA, 904 nt
Filed under: Cladosporium subinflatum
Lineage: Eukaryota; Fungi; Ascomycota; Dothideomycetes; Cladosporiales; Cladosporiaceae
Description: LSU rRNA
Rfam family: Eukaryotic large subunit ribosomal RNA
Source: RNAcentral